RNAcentral lists this ribosomal RNA (534 nucleotides) under uncultured eukaryote. Its description in RNAcentral is "bacterial SSU rRNA". It matches the Rfam family "Eukaryotic small subunit ribosomal RNA", at positions 22 to 548 of the family's 1831-position model. The record is from RNAcentral.
AGUCAUAUGCUUGUCUGUAAGAUUAAGCCAUGCAAGUCUAAGUAUAAGCAUUUAUACUGUGAAACUGCAGAUGGCUCAUUAUAUCAGUUAUAGUUUAUUUGAUGGUAACUUUUUACAUGGAUAACCGUGGUAAUUCUAGAGCUAAUACAUGCGUAAAAACAUGACUCCGUUUCGGUGGGGAAGUGUUGUAUUUAUUAGAUUAAAAACCAAUGGCGCUUCGGCGUCUCUUUUUGGUGAAUCAUAAUAACUUUUCGAAUCGCAAGGUCUUGAACCGGCGAUAGUUCAUUCAAAUUUCUGCCCUAUCAGCUUUCGAUGGUAGUGUAGUGGACUACCAUGGCUUUAACGGGUAACGGAGAAUUAGGGUUCGAUUCCGGAGAGGGAGCCUGAGAAACGGCUACCACAUCCAAGGAAGGCAGCAGGCGCGUAAAUUACCCAAUCCCAAUUCGGGGAGGUAGUGACAAGAAAUAACAAUACCGGGCUCUAAGAGACUGGUAAUUGGAAUGAGAACAAUUUAAAAAACUUAUCGAAAGCAAC